This 594-nucleotide long non-coding RNA is filed under the name Sorghum bicolor (sorghum). RNAcentral's name for it is "long non-coding RNA (SBIC_LNC001239)". Lineage: Eukaryota; Viridiplantae; Streptophyta; Magnoliopsida; Poales; Poaceae. The record is from RNAcentral.
AAAAAACUAAAAAUAGCUCCACCUGUUGUGAAUGACGGCGGAUAAACGACGAAGAACACAAGAUCAAAACACAGCGGAGACACAAGAUUUAACGUGGAAAACCCUUCCAAUGCGAAGGGGAAAAAACCACGGGCACCAGCCAGCAAACACUCACUAUUAUCAAGAGUUGGGUUACAACGUCGUGCGGCGGCUUACAAGAUCAUAACUUCAGUGGAACCCUAAUUCGCUCCGACAGAAGUCGAUCAUUGUAAUGUGCCACUAAAUUUGGAACAUAUUCAACACCACCAACCGAAGCAAGCCAUUGCCCAAAGGUACAAACUUUUUCCACUCACCAAAUGACCCAAGGUCUUGGGAUGGGAGGAUGGCUCUUUCUCCGGCGAGUCCAACUUUGAGCGCUAUCCUUUCCUGUUCCUCAAGGCUACACGCUAGUCUCCAUCGAGCAUUGCUCCCUCCGCGGCGAGCCCCACACCACCGGCGGCAAGUGGCUGCAUCCACCAACCCAGCACUGCAGCGCUGCAAUUAGUGUCACCGUCGUUGUUAGUGGAAGGCUGCCAUGGCUCUUGUAGGUGACUGUUAUGCCUGCGUAGGGGUGUU